This is a non-coding RNA of Sphaerodactylus townsendi, 72 nucleotides long. Lineage: Eukaryota; Metazoa; Chordata; Lepidosauria; Squamata; Sphaerodactylidae. The record is from the annotation of a RefSeq genome assembly.
GGUGCUGUGGCUCAGUGGCAGAGCAUCUGCUUAGCACGCAGGAGGUCCCAAGUUCAAUCCCUGGCAACGCCA